AGUCAACCUAACCUAUGGACGGGAAUAACCUCGGGAAACUGAGAAUAAUGCCCGAUAGAACACUAUACCUGGAAUGGUUUGUGUUCCAAAUGAUUUAUCGCCGUAGGAUGGGACUGCGGCCUAUCAGUUUGUUGGUGAGGUAAUGGCCCACCAAGACUAUUACAGGUACGGGCUCUGAGAGGAGUAGCCCGGAGAUGGGUACUGAGACACGGACCCAGGCCCUAUGGGGCGCAGCAGGCGAGAAAACUUUGCAAUGUGCGAAAGCACGACAAGGUUAAUCCGAGUGGUUUGUGCUAAACGAACCUUUUGUCGGUCCUAGAAACACCGAUGAAUAAGGGGUGGGCAAGUUCUGGUGUCAGCCGCCGCGGUAAAACCAGCACCUCAAGUGGUCAGGAUGAUUAUUGGGCCUAAAGCAUCCGUAGCCGGCUCUGUAAGUUUUCGGUUAAAUCUGUACGCUCAACGUACAGGCUGCCGGGAAUACUGCAGAGCUAGGGAGUGGGAGAGGUAGACGGUACUCGGUAGGAAGGGGUAAAAUCCUUUGAUCUAUUGAUGACCACCUGUGGCGAAGGCGGUCUACCAGAACACGUCCGACGGUGAGGGAUGAAAGCUGGGGGAGCAAACCGGAUUAGAUACCCGGGUAGUCCCAGCUGUAAACUAUGCAAACUCAGUGAUGCAUUGGCUUGUGGCCAAUGCAGUGCU
This 699-nucleotide ribosomal RNA is filed under the name uncultured marine archaeon. RNAcentral's name for it is "bacterial SSU rRNA". It matches the Rfam family "Archaeal small subunit ribosomal RNA", at positions 102 to 802 of the family's 1478-position model. The record is from RNAcentral.